RNAcentral lists this ribosomal RNA (718 nucleotides) under uncultured Pseudomonadaceae bacterium. Its description in RNAcentral is "bacterial SSU rRNA". It matches the Rfam family "Bacterial small subunit ribosomal RNA", at positions 9 to 747 of the family's 1533-position model. The record is from RNAcentral. Lineage: Bacteria; Pseudomonadati; Pseudomonadota; Gammaproteobacteria; Pseudomonadales; Pseudomonadaceae.
CGAGUUUGAUCCUGGCUCAGAACGAACGCUGGCGGCAUGCCUAAUACAUGCAAGUCGAACGAGCCCUUCGGGGUUAGUGGCGCACGGGUGCGUAACGCGUGGGAAUCUGCCCUUGGGUUCGGAAUAACGUCUGGAAACGGACGCUAAUACCGGAUGAUGACGAAAGUCCAAAGAUUUAUCGCCCAGGGAUGAGCCCGCGUAGGAUUAGCUAGUUGGUGGGGUAAAGGCCUACCAAGGCGACGAUCCGUAACUGGUCUGAGAGGAUGAUCAGUCACACUGGAACUGAGACACGGUCCAGACUCCUACGGGAGGCAGCAGUGGGGAAUAUUGGACAAUGGGCGAAAGCCUGAUCCAGCCAUGCCGCGUGUGUGAAGAAGGUCUUCGGAUUGUAAAGCACUUUAAGUUGGGAGGAAGGGCAGUAAGUUAAUACCUUGCUGUUUUGACGUUACCAACAGAAUAAGCACCGGCUAACUUCGUGCCAGCAGCCGCGGUAAUACGAAGGGUGCAAGCGUUAAUCGGAAUUACUGGGCGUAAAGCGCGCGUAGGUGGUUUGGUAAGAUGGAUGUGAAAUCCCCGGGCUCAACCUGGGAACUGCAUCCCAUACUGCCUGACUAGAGUACGGUAGAGGGUGGUGGAAUUUCCUGUGUAGCGGUGAAAUGCGUAGAUAUAGGAAGGAACACCAGUGGCGAAGGCGAUCACCUGGACUGAUACUGACACU